Oryzias melastigma (Indian medaka) is the source of this 407-nucleotide long non-coding RNA. RefSeq lists it as uncharacterized. Lineage: Eukaryota; Metazoa; Chordata; Actinopteri; Beloniformes; Adrianichthyidae. The transcript is spliced from 2 exons. The record is from RefSeq and is a predicted model, not a curated record.
GCUGCUGUCAUGGUGCCUCUGUCAGUCUCCUCCCCCUCUCCACUCUCCUCUCCUCUCCACCCGGCUGCUGAUUAACCCCAGCUGCGACCACUCACCUCAUCACCUCGCCUGCCUUUUUAAGGAGCACCAGGAUCAUCAUUCUUUGCCAGUCCGUUGCCCCUGAUGGAAUCUGUUACCACGAGUGGUCGCUGCUGUCUGCCUCUGCCGGAUCCCAAGUUGGAUCUUCUCUCCACGGUCAUCCCACGAGCCUCCGCCUUUGCUCCACGGUCCUGCUCCCAAGACGGCUAUCUCCCUCUCCGAGGAACCAACCGGUGACGCCUCCAGCCUCGACCUCCUGCUUGGAGCCCACUUCUUGCCCUGUUCAAGUUACUACCUCCUCGCAUCACUAUUAAAUCCUUUAUCUACCA